GGAGGCCAAGCCCUUUGUCCCCUCAGAGGACACCCGUUCAGAGGCACUCUUCUCUGACAUGGGACAGCAGCUGCGGACGGUUGCUGGAGGCAGUCUGAUGCGCCUCCGCGUUAGGAAGAUUGGGGUUUGUUCCGGGUCUGUGAUAUUAGUUCUGGGACUAUUGUCAAGGUGCAAAACUGUACCGAGCUUCAUUUUCUUUAUGUGUAAAUGAAGCUGUCAGUACCUAUUCUACAGGAUUACUUUGAGGAUCAGUGAAAUAGUGUAGUGUCUCUACAUGGUUGGUUUUUAACAAUUAAUAUUCUUUCCUUUUCCGUGCCCCAGGGCCAGGACUCCAGUGAGCCCAACCUGGUGUUUUCCAGUGUUUUCAGGAGGCAUUCAUUCUCAGGGGCCCACCUGGGCUUGUGGAAGCCCGAGAGUGUGUAUCUCCUUGAAUUUUGCACCCUGGAUGCCUUCCUUGCUCACCCUGGACCCAGCCCUGCCCUGCUUUUGAGCAAUUUGUAUUCUUGGUUUAACAAAGUGUGGAGAGGACCCUCAAGGAUCUCAGAACCUACUGGAUGAGGCAGGAAAAUAAAAAGACACAGAGUGUGCUGUGUGAUCAGCAGAGAUGAAGAAAGCUUCCUUAGUGAAGGAGGAGAAUUACAGAGCAGCGCCAGCGUUGGGGAAACAUGCUCAACUUCCAGCAGUCAUUCCCGCUCGCCUCCUUUCUCUUUGCUCGAGGUCUUCGGUUCAGGCUCCACAACUGAUUGAUGCUGUUUUCCUGUUAGUAUCUCUUUUUCAUCAUGCACGAUCCUCCAUAGUGAUGGAAUGGAGACAGCUUCUCAGAGAAAGCACAGCUUUGGAAGCUUCAGCCAGACACCGUACAAGGGACAGGGGAGACUGAGAUGAAGAACACUCGGUGCUUCUUCCCAAGGCACUCGCAAUCUCGGAGAAGACAGAUGUGUACUCACACAGAUGCAUAUGCUACAGCACUGUGUGAUGAUGCUAUACAUGCACAAAGUGACCGGGAACAGAGCGGCCGUCCCUGGCGACUCAGGGGAGGCAUCACACGAGAGAUGACUUUAGAACCGGGCCUUUAAAGGAAACACAGGAUCUCUGCAGCAGUCAAGAAGGGGAAGAGAAGACUUGGUGUUAAAAAAUCAUGGGUUCAGGACAUACUGCCCCACAAUAUGGCACUUUGGCAUGUUGAAUAUUUUAAGCUAGAGGAAUUUGAGAAAACAGCAGAAGCAGGAAGGUCCCCUGAGGCGGUCCCCUGAAGUGGUCAUAAACUUUGGGAAGGACUCUGACCUUCUGAAGCAGGUCAUAAGACCCUCGUGUGAGAGUUGCCCUUCCUGUAGCUGGAGGAAAGGGGCAUCCUUAUCUCUCAAGACAAAAGGAGACAGAGAGGAAUCCAGAAAAACAAGCCUUGCUAAGCUUCCCCAGUUCACCACACUUACAUUGUACUCUCUGCCCUGUGAUAUUUCUCCAUGACUUUCCCCUCCUUAUCAAACCUAUUAUUAAAAACACUCCCAUUUAACUGUUUCUUCAGAUCCUCAUUUCCUUAUGAAGGCUCUCUCGUCACAUAAAACUUGUAUUAAAUAAAUUUGUAAGCUUUU
This is a long non-coding RNA of Homo sapiens (human), 1592 nucleotides long. The record is from Ensembl. Lineage: Eukaryota; Metazoa; Chordata; Mammalia; Primates; Hominidae.